GCGACGGGUGAGUACACGUGGGCAAUCUGCCCUUCACUCUGGGACAAGCCCUGGAAACGGGGUCUAAUACCGGAUAACACCUGCCCGGGCAUCUGGGUGGGUUAAAAGCUCCGGCGGUGAAGGAUGAGCCCGCGGCCUAUCAGCUUGUUGGUGAGGUAGUGGCUCACCAAGGCGACGACGGGUAGCCGGCCUGAGAGGGCGACCGGCCACACUGGGACUGAGACACGGCCCAGACUCCUACGGGAGGCAGCAGUGGGGAAUAUUGCACAAUGGGCGAAAGCCUGAUGCAGCGACGCCGCGUGAGGGAUGACGGCCUUCGGGUUGUAAACCUCUUUCAGCAGGGAAGAAGCGAAAGUGACGGUACCUGCAGAAGAAGCGCCGGCUAACUACGUGCCAGCAGCGGG
RNAcentral lists this ribosomal RNA (404 nucleotides) under Streptomyces sp. MBT45. Its description in RNAcentral is "bacterial SSU rRNA". It matches the Rfam family "Bacterial small subunit ribosomal RNA", at positions 99 to 521 of the family's 1533-position model. The record is from RNAcentral. Lineage: Bacteria; Bacillati; Actinomycetota; Actinomycetes; Kitasatosporales; Streptomycetaceae.